Molecule: ribosomal RNA, 1230 nt
Filed under: Triticum aestivum (bread wheat)
Lineage: Eukaryota; Viridiplantae; Streptophyta; Magnoliopsida; Poales; Poaceae
Description: partial small subunit ribosomal RNA
Source: RNAcentral
AUGGACGGCGAUAGGCGGCCUCCGGCGGCGGCCGCGGCCGCAUCGGCGGCAUCGGUCCUCGGCGACGACGACCUGCUCCGCGAGAUCCUGCUCCGCCUCGGCUUCCCCACCUGCCUCGUCCGCGCAGCCCUCGUCUGCAAGCGGUGGCUCCUCCACGCCUCCGACCCGGCCUUCCUCCGCCGCUUCCGCGAGCGCAACCCGCCCCGCCUCCUCGGCUUCUGCCUCCGCUGCCCUGACGGGUAUUCUUUCGUGCCGCUGCCACAGCCCCCGGAGCUCGCCGUCCCCAUACGCCGGGCGACCUCCUCCUGCGCCGCCGCCUUCGCCAUCAAAAUCCAUCGAAUCAAGCACUGCCGGAACGGCCGCCUCAUCACCAACUACUUCGACGGCUGCACACAUCAUCAUGCCAUCAUGGCGCCGCUGCUGCACGGGGAAUCCGCAACCGCCCUCCCGCCGAUCCCGCUACACUCCCGUGACUGGGCCAGGCGCGCUCAAGUGAGAUUCUUUGAGAUGUUCCUACCCGAGGAUGGGGGCCUCCACGGCAUCACCUUGCUGCAUCUCUGGAUGGUUGGGCGAAAAAUCUAUGCGGAGGUGUGCGUCCUGAGAUCCAGCGGUUGGGGCGUCCCUGCCACCGCAGAGAUGGAGCUCCCUGCUCAAAGGUAUGACGAAGGCUUCCUUGAUGACAUGCUACCACCCGUCCUUGGCAAGGUCUUCAUGGUGACCGCCUCUGGGACUGGGUACGCCCUGGGCCUAGAUUUGGCGACGGCGAGCUUUUUCACCCUUGAGCUCCCAGUUGGAGUGCAGAGCAACUAUAAGCUCUCAUGUGCGGAGGAUUCUGGGCUCUAUCUUGUCAGUGCAGACGGGUUUCAGCUCAGUGUGUGGCUCCAUCCGAUGAUCGGUGACGACGAUGGUGGAGCCAACUGGAGGCUGGUAGACACAUUUUGUGUCCAUGAGACAUGCACACGUCUUGUGGAUCGUUAUUGGGUGCCCCUUUAUAAUUUUAUUGCUGUUGAUUUUGUCGGGGACAAUGCCGAGUUUGUGAUCUUGUAUCAUCCAGCAAGCUGCAUUUUCUUUUAUGUUCAUCUCAGGAACAGGGUGGUUGAGAAGGUGUAUCAGAGGCCGACGCCUACGGCUAUCACUCCGGUCUAUGGCCGCUUCCAUAUCUCUCCUGUUAUGAUGACCUGGCCGCCUAUCUUUCCGACACUGAACAAAGGACAUGAUCAAGAGGAAUGA